Molecule: ribosomal RNA, 760 nt
Filed under: uncultured bacterium
Lineage: Bacteria
Description: bacterial SSU rRNA
Rfam family: Bacterial small subunit ribosomal RNA
Source: RNAcentral
AGAGUUUGAUCCUGGCUCAGAACGAACGCUGGCGGCAUGCCUAACACAUGCAAGUCGAACGCUUCAUCGGUUUCGGCCGGUGGGGAGUGGCGCACGGGUGAGUAGCGCGUGGGAACCUGCCUUUCAGUGGGGGAUAACCGAGGGAAACUUCGGCUAAUACCGCAUGCGUCCCGGCGACAGCCGGGGGAAAGAUUUAUCGCUGAAAGAGGGGCCCGCGUCGGAUUAGCUGGUUGGUGGGGUAACGGCCCACCAAGGCGAUGAUCCGUAGCUGGUCUGAGAGGAUGAUCAGCCACACUGGGACUGAGACACGGCCCAGACUCCUACGGGAGGCAGCAGUGGGGAAUAUUGGACAAUGGGCGCAAGCCUGAUCCAGCAAUGCCGCGUGAGUGAUGAAGGCCUUCGGGUUGUAAAGCUCUUUCGCCCGCGACGAUGAUGACGGUAGCGGGAGAAGAAGCCCCGGCUAACUUCGUGCCAGCAGCCGCGGUAAUACGAAGGGGGCGAGCGUUGUUCGGAAUCACUGGGCGUAAAGGGCGCGUAGGCGGCCCUGCUUGUCGCGUGUGAAAGCCCCGGGCUCAACCUGGGAAUGGCGCGCGAGACGGCGGGGCUGGAGUUCGGGAGAGGAGAGUGGAAUUCCCAGUGUAGAGGUGAAAUUCGUAGAUAUUGGGAAGAACACCGGUGGCGAAGGCGGCUCUCUGGACCGAGACUGACGCUGAGGCGCGAAAGCGUGGGGAGCAAACAGGAUUAGAUACCCCAGUAGUCC